This 351-nucleotide unclassified non-coding RNA is filed under the name Macrosphyra longistyla. Its description in RNAcentral is "partial external transcribed spacer". The record is from RNAcentral. Lineage: Eukaryota; Viridiplantae; Streptophyta; Magnoliopsida; Gentianales; Rubiaceae.
CCUCGCAUUCCUCUUCAGUCGUCGGCACAAGAGCGGUAGCCUUGGCCGCCCGCGGGUUUCCUGUGUUGCAUACCCACCGAAGGGUAUUCGGYCGUCGCAAGGAUGGACGUUCCUCCGUCGCCGUGCCCCGUUGCGUGGGCGCGGCGUGGGGCGAACCACGAAGGCACCGACGCGUGUCCGGGACGAGACGCGUCCCGGGCCACGRCGUGCGGCCUGAGCUCUCGGACGCAGUGCACCAUGAGGGCAGGGGUCGCUCGACGACCUCCGUUUGCCCGAGCUCGGCGUCAAUCGCCGCCCGCACCGAACGACCGCCGUCGUCGUCUCGGGACGUCGCGCCCCCCGUCGGGCUCG